UACAGAGGGUGCAAGCGUUGUUCGGAAUUAUUGGGCGUAAAGAGCGUGUAGGCGGCUUGGUAGGUCCGCUGUGAAAACUCGAGGCUCAACCUCGAGAUGUCGGCGGAAACCACUUGGCUAGAGUCCGGAAGAGGAGAGUGGAAUUCCCGGUGUAGCGGUGAAAUGCGCAGAUAUCGGGAAGAACACCUAUGGCGAAGGCAGCUCUCUGGGCCGGUACUGACGCUGAGACGCGAAAGCGUGGGGAGCGAACAGG
This 253-nucleotide ribosomal RNA is filed under the name uncultured bacterium. Its description in RNAcentral is "partial 16S ribosomal RNA". It matches the Rfam family "Bacterial small subunit ribosomal RNA", at positions 524 to 776 of the family's 1533-position model. The record is from RNAcentral.